GACAGAGGGUGCAAACGUUGUUCGGAAUUACUGGGCGUAAAGCGCGUGUAGGCUGCUCGAACAGUCGGGUGUGAAAGCCCUGGGCUCAACCCAGGAAGUGCAUUCGAUACUGCCGAGCUUGAGUCCUGGAGAGGAAGGCGGAAUUCUCGGUGUAGAGGUGAAAUUCGUAGAUAUCGAGAGGAACACCGGUGGCGAAGGCGGCCUUCUGGACCGAUAUUGACGCUGAGGAGCGAAAGCCAGGGGAGCAAACGGG
This 253-nucleotide ribosomal RNA is filed under the name uncultured bacterium. Its description in RNAcentral is "partial 16S ribosomal RNA". It matches the Rfam family "Bacterial small subunit ribosomal RNA", at positions 524 to 776 of the family's 1533-position model. The record is from RNAcentral.